RNAcentral lists this ribosomal RNA (424 nucleotides) under uncultured bacterium. RNAcentral describes it as "bacterial SSU rRNA". It matches the Rfam family "Bacterial small subunit ribosomal RNA", at positions 355 to 796 of the family's 1533-position model. The record is from RNAcentral.
UAACGAAUCUUCCGCAAUGCACGAAAGUGUGACGGAGCGACGCCGCGUGUGGGACGAAGUCCUUCGGGAUGUAAACCACUGUCAGGGGUUAGAAAGUUCUGAUCAACCCCAGAGGAAGGCACGGCUAACUCUGUGCCAGCAGCCGCGGUAAGACAGAGGUGCCAAGCGUUAGGCGGAAUCACUGGGCUUAAAGCGUGUGUAGGUGGACUGGUAAGUACCUUGUGAAAUCCCACGGCUCAACCGUGGAACUGCUGGGUAUACUGCUGGUCUUGAGCCAUCUAGGGGUCAGCGGAACAAAUGGUGGAGCGGUGAAAUGCGUAGAUAUCAUUUGGAACGCCAAUGGUGAAAACAACUGACUGGGGAUGUGCUGACACUGAGACACGAAAGCUAGGGGAGCAAACGGGAUUAGAUACCCCCGUAGUCC